Molecule: ribosomal RNA, 421 nt
Filed under: uncultured archaeon
Lineage: Archaea
Description: partial 16S ribosomal RNA
Rfam family: Archaeal small subunit ribosomal RNA
Source: RNAcentral
CUACGGGGCGCUGCAGUCGCGAAAACUUUGCAAUACACGAAAGUGUGACAGGGCUAUCCCGAGUGCCAUCCGCUGAGGAAGGCUUUUACCCAGUGUAGAUAGCUGGGGGAAUAAGGAGAGGGCAAGACUGGUGUCAGCCGCCGCGGUAAUACCAGCUCUCCGAGUGGUGUGGAUGUUUAUUGGGCCUAAAGCAUCCGUAGCUGGCUGGGCAAGUCCCCUGUUAAAUCCACCGAUUUAAUCGUUGGAGUGCGGGGGAUACUGUUCGGCUAGGGGACGGGAGAGGCCGACGGUAUUUCCGGGGUAGGGGUGAAAUCCUAUAAUCCCGGGAAGACCACCAGUGGCGAAGGCUGUCGGCUAGAACGCGCCCGACGGUGAGGGAUGAAAGCUGGGGGAGCGAACCGGAUUAGAUACCCCCGUAGUC